RNAcentral lists this unclassified non-coding RNA (18 nucleotides) under Chlamydomonas reinhardtii. RNAcentral describes it as "small RNA Cre_2005". The record is from RNAcentral. Lineage: Eukaryota; Viridiplantae; Chlorophyta; Chlorophyceae; Chlamydomonadales; Chlamydomonadaceae.
GUAGUAGUUUAGCCCUGC